CUGGCUCAGGACGAACGCUGGCGGCGUGCCUAAUACAUGCAAGUCGAGCGGACAGAUGGGAGCUUGCUCCCUGAUGUUAGCGGCGGACGGGUG
Molecule: ribosomal RNA, 93 nt
Filed under: Bacillus subtilis J25
Lineage: Bacteria; Bacillati; Bacillota; Bacilli; Caryophanales; Bacillaceae
Description: partial 16S ribosomal RNA
Rfam family: Bacterial small subunit ribosomal RNA
Source: RNAcentral